RNAcentral lists this long non-coding RNA (3274 nucleotides) under Vigna radiata. Its description in RNAcentral is "long non-coding RNA (VRAD_LNC000982)". Lineage: Eukaryota; Viridiplantae; Streptophyta; Magnoliopsida; Fabales; Fabaceae. The record is from RNAcentral.
AAAUGUUCUAGGCUACUUACUUAGUUAUUGUUACUCCAAGAUCACUUCUAAGAUCACAAAAGAAAACUCAAAAGUCAAGAAAACAACUAAGACUCUAAGGUCGGACUCUAAGUUUCCUAAACGAAAAUUUACAAGCUUAAAAGGAAUGAAGAAAUGAAAUGUAAAGGUGAGGUCUCCUAGGUGAGGCUUAGACUUUGGAUCUAAGACACACUCACCGUCUACCAAUUUUAGGUGAAGAGACUUUAAGUCAAGUUAGCAAAUGAGGGAAGAACACUUAGGAGCUCUUCCACUUCACUUGCUUGAAAUGGCCCUUUUUACAAAUCAAAGAAAAACAAAUGAACUAUUACAACUUGUGAUUCAAUCAAAAAGGAAAGGAUAAGGAAAGUGCAACUUUGGCCUCUCUCAAUGGAAGCUGCGUGAAAAUUGAUGCAGCACAAGUCUCACAGUUGCUAUCAAUUGAAAUUGUGAAUUCUGGAUGCAGAAUCGGUUCUGUCUUACACAUAUACAGCAACUGUUGCAGCAAUUAUGCAGUCACGGGAUGGACUUUUGCAGCACCAAGAGCCCAACUUCUUUGUGAUUUCCGCCACUUAUCCACUCCCUAAUAUGCUACCAAUGGUUUAGGAGCUCAGCUAGAUCAAUGCUCCUAUGAUAGCACUUCAACCAAAUCACAAAUCAUUCUAGAGAUUAGUGCACAAAAUGUUGUUGCUGCCAGAAAAAUGUGCACAACCAAAAUGGUUUAGGAGCUCAGCUAGAUCAAUGCUCCUAUGAUAACACCUUUUAUCAAACAGGUGGUAGACAAGAAUUCCAACAAUCAAAUUAAAGCAAUAAAAAGGGACAGAAACACGGGUACACAACCAAAAUGGAACCUAGGAAUGGUGCUAGAGCAGAUUUAAAAGCAAUAAAACAGACUCAAGUAAUAAGUGAAGUGUAGUCAAUGAUAAUAUGCCAUCAGCACCAUCUGUUUGUGAAAAGGUCUCAAUGAUAGUCCAACUAAUGCUAAUUUUUUUUUUAUUUCACGGGAUGCAGAUUUCAACUAAUAUGUUGCACGGAUUCAAUGAGCUUUUUCACUGUCAAUUCAAUUCUUUUGAAUGUUAUGUUUCUUUUAUAUUGAAUCCAGCUUUUGCUACAACAUUUACAUAAAAUUCAAUGCAACAAUUCAAGCUUCAAUUAUCAUAAUUCUGCAGCACUUAAUUGGACUGAAACAGAGGUUCAAAAGUGGCUGGAUUGACUAGCGAAAAUGCACAAUUCCAAUUACAAUCAUUUUAACUUUGCACCAACAAGUUUAAUUGAUGAUUUUAAACUUGUUUGACAGAGAAUUUUGAACAGAUUCAAUGUCUAUCAGAUUAUGACAUGUUCAGUUCCUUUGUGCACUUUCAACCAUUCAACUCUAAUAGCCAACUUUUGAAACAACAAACUAAAUUGACUUCUUGCAUCAGAAUAUGUCUUAACACAAUAUUGGAAAGUUGCUCAAAUAGCAGAAUAACAAUUUUAUAUGGUUGGCAAUGAACUAGAUACUCAACCAGAUUUAACACACAAACACGGCUUUAGCAAAGAAAAUUGUGCAGUUCGGCCUACUGCCAAAUGAAAUGCCAUUUGAACUUUCCAGUUAUACUACCAAUAGCAAAAGCAAUUUCAGGUUUUAUAGUAUUCACUCUGGACUUCGUUCAACAGAGGCUUAUACACAAUCAUCAAUAGUGUUUUUAACCAAAAACAGCCAAUAAACAAUGAAAUUCAGAAAAAUAUGCAGUAUCAAACCAUUGCAGUUUACGUUUUCUUUUCUGUUCAGAUCUGAUUGCCACAUUGCCACCAAGCUCAUUCACUUGAACUUCAUUGCUCUUUAAUGAUUAACAACAUGUAUUUGCAAUUCAGAAUCAAUUGAUGCAGACACAACUCACAGUUGACACAGAAUUGAAGACAAACAAAAAAUCAAUGCAUACAAUGCACAAGACUUGACAGAUCUGGAUGGAUUACAAAAUAAAAGACUCAAAACAGAAUUGACCGAAUAAAAUGAUGAGAAGAAAAGCAAAUAAGCUAGUAUGAAAGAAAUGACACACACAAAACCUAAGAAUGAACAGCAAAUGAAUGGAACAGUACCACACAAUGAAGCAGAGAAAAGAAAACUGUGACAGUGUAAAAUGGAGGAAAAAUUGACUUAUCUCAUGGUAGCAGUAGCUGGAACUCAAUGUGGCUCUGAAUACCACUUGAUAGCUCCUUCCUUGAGCUAUGGUUCAGAUCCGUGAGAUGCAGCAAGCAAAGAAGGCAGCAUCAGCGGUAAUGGAAUGCUUGGAUAAUGAAUANUGAUAGCUCCUUCCUUGAGCUAUGGUUCAGAUCCGUGAGAUGCAGCAAGCAAAGAAGGCAGCAUCAGCGGUAAUGGAAUGCUUGGAUAAUGAAUAGGCAGCAGAAGACAUUAUGAUGGAUUCUAUGAAGUGGAGGAAGUGCUUUAGUGUAAUGAAUCUAGCUCAGACAACUCUCACCUCUGGAAGGAAGCUUGAGGAUUGAAUGGAGGAAGCACAAGAAGAAGUGACUCUCGGUGAUGAAAGGGCUGGAAGCAAUGUGCUUAGCAUUUCAAUUCUGUCAAUAUUCCCAAAAGUAUCAUACAGAAGUUGCCUUGGGGUUUUUAUAAGAAUUCCCUUCGGCCUUGGCAAGGAAAAUACUAGUACUAGAUCCGUGAAAUGUGGAUCUGCUGCCACGUAGGCAGCCAUGUGCAACAUGUGCUAGCCUUCUAGAAGGCUUUAUUUAGCAUGUGGAAAAUGUUUUCUAACCAAGUAGCAUGUGUUACAUGUGUGACAGCUGGAAAAAGAAAUGUGUCGUACCAUACAUGUAAGGAAAAUGAAGUGUGUUAACCCUUUCCUUCCUUGGACCAUCUUGGCUCUUGAUCUUGCUCUCUUGGCUUCCAUUCAAAACAUCCAUUCAAAACAUGUAAAGAAUAUCUGACCUUCUGGUGUUGGCUCUUGAAGUUCUUGUUGUAAUUUCCGGGCCAUCUAUCUUUAUAGGACCUGGAUGCAGGCUGCUAGGACCCCGUGUAUCACGAAGAGAUGCUGGAAACGAAACCCUCACGUCAUGGGAACACCUAACUUGAAACUCACCCCUUCUUUCCUGCAAACCAAGCCAGACCAAAGAAAGGGAAGAAGGAAACAACACUCCCCUACUACGAAAACAACAAGAACCAGAAAGAGAAGAAAGGUUCCUUGCAGGUUGAAUCAACAUACAAAAUAAGGAAAAGGAACACAUCCCCUCUCUUCUAAAACGAACUCAAACCAGCACAAAGGUUUAU